UGGGGAAUAUUGCACAAUGGGCGCAAGCCUGAUGCAGCCAUGCCGCGUGUGUGAAGAAGGCCUUAGGGUUGUAAAGCACUUUCAGCGAGGAGGAAGGGUACAGUGUUAAUAGCACUGUGCAUUGACGUUACUCGCAGAAGAAGCACCGGCUAACUCCGUGCCAGCAGCCGCGGUAAUACGGAGGGUGCAAGCGUUAAUCGGAAUUACUGGGCGUAAAGCGCACGCAGGCGGUUUGUUAAGUCAGAUGUGAAAUCCCCGAGCUUAACUUGGGAACUGCAUUUGAAACUGGCAAGCUAGAGUCUUGUAGAGGGGGGUAGAAUUCCAGGUGUAGCGGUGAAAUGCGUAGAGAUCUGGAGGAAUACCGGUGGCGAAGGCGGCCCCCUGGACAAAGACUGACGCUCAGGUGCGAAAGCGUGGGGAGCAAACAGG
This 429-nucleotide ribosomal RNA is filed under the name uncultured Pseudomonadota bacterium. Its description in RNAcentral is "bacterial SSU rRNA". It matches the Rfam family "Bacterial small subunit ribosomal RNA", at positions 355 to 776 of the family's 1533-position model. The record is from RNAcentral. Lineage: Bacteria; Pseudomonadati; Pseudomonadota.